UAUGGCCCACCAUUAAUUUUGAAAAGAUGGAGGGAAAAAAUAAGAGACCCAUGGUUUGACUUAACGAGUCUCUUAUAUAUGUAAGGGCCCACCACUUUAGCAACUUUUUUUUUUCUUUGGGUUAACAGCAAAACCCUAUCUCUUGUCAUUUUCCAUCACCACAUCCCAUAUUCCCAUUCACGCCGCUCUCUCCUCUUCUCUCCUCUCCUAUCAUCUUCUAUUUCUCCUGGAGCAAAAACACGUUAUUGCCAUCUCCUUUUGAGCGUCGGUGUCGCUUCCUCCUCCUCCACAAUGCCCGCGUCGUUUCCUCCUCCUCCUCGAUGUCGGCGUUGCCUCCUCUUUCUACUUAACACCGCCGUCGUUGCUGCGCCUUAUUUUAUUUCAUCACUGUCAAUAAAGCCUAAUUUAAGGCUUUCAAGAUCAAUUUUUACCAUGAAAUUUCAAAUCUGGAGUUUUCUUGGUUAAUUUGGCUAAAUAACCAAAAUUGAAGUGUUUAAAAAGUUGUAGAAUUUGACGAGAUGUGGUGGAGCUUUGAUUGAGUUGCCUCAAUUUCAUACUCCCAAUGACUCCAAGCAGAUGCUUUCAGGAAGGAAAUUCAUUUUGAGCUCUUAUGAAGGAUUAAAUUUGGUCUUUUUCCUUAAAAAAAGGUAAGUUUCUUAUGAUGAAUUUGGGUGAAUUGUAGAUGCAGUGUCGAGGUAAGAGGAAGCUUUGGAGAUUAAUCCUAAAAAAUUGACACAGCGUGGUGUUUGGAAAAUGCUCAUACAACACAUGCUUUUAUGGUUCUUGACAUUGAUGAGGCUCGACCUUACUUUGAGAAGGCUGCUGACUUCUUUCAACAAGUUGUUGGUCUACUUGCAAAACACAAAACUCCCAAAUACAGAGGUAGCAAAUGGAGUACUGAAGUCGUCUUGAAUUAAUUGUAAAUAUGAAUUUUAAUAAAUUCAACCAAUUAUUUGUUGGGAUUUUAUGUUCUAAGCUAUGCCCCCAAGUUAUUGAAAAUCUAAGCUGUACCCAUGUUUUUUCAAAGUUAUAAGUUGUGCCCUCCACUUCACGGUAUUUUAUCAAUAAUACCCUUUGACAACCAUAUAUGUUAACGAAAGCUAAGUUAUUUUA
Chenopodium quinoa (quinoa) is the source of this 1113-nucleotide long non-coding RNA. RefSeq lists it as uncharacterized. The transcript has 3 exons. NCBI's taxonomy places the organism in Eukaryota, Viridiplantae, Streptophyta, Magnoliopsida, Caryophyllales, Amaranthaceae. The record is from RefSeq and is a predicted model, not a curated record.